ACCACGGCCUCUCCUCGCUCUCUCCGUCCCUCCCGAUCCCGACUUCUCCCGACACGGCGGCCACGGCGACGCACCUCCUCCCGCGACCCGUGCUCCCGCCACCCCUUCCUUCCUCUCCCUCUCCCCGAUGUGGUGGCCUAGAGGUUGGCCCCCAGCGGCACCGCUUGACCGCCGGGCGUCCUUGCGGCAUGACGGUGGCCUCAGGCUGUGGCGGAGCGCCGCCCGUGUGACCUGCCGGCGCCCGUCCCCGGCCACGGCAUGGCGUCAGCAGGGCUCUCCGAGCAGGGCCCUCCGGUGGCUGGCGACGCGGGUGCUCUCCGAGGCAGGCUCCUCGAAACCCUAGGUUCCUGUGCUCGCGGACACGGCCGCCCGGUGCCGGGCUCGGGCCCGGUAGUCCCGUCGAUGGCCGCAAGAGCCCCAGCACAAGCAGGCCUCCGCCGUGGCCGUACCUGUGAGGGCCGUGGUUCUCGCCUUCGAUUUUGGAACAGCGGCGUCAGCCAUGUACCCUAUGCUCAGGUUUUCUUCGUUUCUCAUCUUUACAUUUUCCUUAUAUGCAGAUCAGUGCUUAGCUUCAUCCUCUUCAGUCCUAUGUUAUUCUCUAGCCUCUCCGAUCCUUUUAACCACUUUAGCAAAAUUGUUUUGGGCCGUUCCAUCAUAGCUUGGAUAUAUGGAUCUUCCUCAAUUUCUGAGAAUAACCCCAUUGCCACCAUGCAUAGAAGUUUAGAGUUGAUAGACAAAUGAUGAUUCAUAUGUUUCUGAGGCUUAAAAAAUAUCUCCACUUAAAAAAAGGGUAAUUUUUUUAAAAUUUAUUCUUUCUUCCCUUUUUCAGCCUAUGAUGACAAAUUUAUGUACGUUGCUAAACGAUAUGAUCUGAUAUUUGUUCUCUUGUGAGGUACUGGGCAUGUGCUAAGCAUGUCUUGAGGCUCUAAGUCGAUAAACAGAUGAUGAAUGGUAUGUUUCUGAGGCUUAAAACAAUUCUAUCUUCGAUGAAAAUCUUUGACUUAUUCUUCCUUCCCUUGUUCAGCCUAUGAUGAAAAAUUUAUACCCAAUGCCAACGACAUGAUCUGAUAUCUAUUCGCUUAUGAGGGACUAGGCAUGUACUAAGCAUGUCUUGAGGCUCCAAGUUGAUAAACAUAUGAUGAAUGAUAUCUUUCUGAGGCUUAAAAAAAAUUCUAUCUUCAAUAAAAAUUUUGAUUUAUUCUUCGUUCCCUUCUUCAACCUAUGAUGAAAAAUUUAUACCCAUUGCUAAAGGCUAUGAUCUGACGUCCAUUCGCUUGUCCUAAGCAUGUCUUCAGGCUCCAAGUUGAUUAACAAAUGAUGAAUGGUGUGUUUCUGAGGCUUCAAAAAAAUCAUAUCUUCAAUGAAAAUUAAAAUAUAAUUUUUGCGCUGCAAUUUACAUACAUAUACUUUUACUAAAUGCAUCUACAUGGUGUUCAAGUGGAAGGCAAAGUAUUUUGAUGUCAAUAAUUCGGUUGCAGGCUCAAAUUGACUAAACCAAAUAUCAGGUAUGAAAGGUGACAAUGCAUCCCCAUCUUGCUAUUUAUUAUUGCGCAGGGUGAACCGACAUGUAGAAAUCGAUAUGUUCUUACAGUUCUUAUUAGUGUGCAGCUAAUAUCUCUAAAAUAAAUUGCCUUUUUUUUUCUCGAAUACGCAGGAGGACUGCGUAUCAUUGUAUUAAUAGAAGGAAAAAAACGGAGCCGUACAGAAACUCAAGGAAACCACACACGCAGACUCACGCGCGCACGCGCACACACACAAAUUAAACUUCUAUUAACAGAAUAGAAAAAAAAAACAAAAAACACCUGAGACUAAGAAAAAGACCUGACCACCAAACUCCCUUUAUCUGUUCUCCUGAACUGGGCUCCGGGACAGCCCCUUGGCCCCAGACAAGGACCAAAGCAUAGCUUCCUCCUGAGCAAGAGUCAAAGCUGUGGCCAGAUUUGGGGUGGCUCCAUUGAAGACUGGUGAGGUCCUUUAUGGAGCAUAAUGUCCUAGAUGUUCUUGACCUAUUACAUCUGUUGCAAAAGCUCCUGUUGACUCCGUGUUGAGCUUGAUUGAUCUCAAAAAAGGCUUACUGAUAUUACAUGAUUACUCUAUGUGCUGUGUUUCGCUAUCAUCACACAAGAUCUUCUGUUUGUCUUACUCCUCAGGUAGUUUGACUAUACUUUAGCCUCUCUUUCUCCAUUUUCUAAUGCCUUUGGUUCUCCUAAUUUGGUGUAUUUGUGCUUUUUACUCUUGCUACCUCCUACUACAUCUGUGUUGAGUGAGGCCAAUCUCAAAGGAGUUUUACUGAUUUUGAAGGAUUAUUCUAUGUGGUACGCUUCAUAGUAUCUUGGUUAUGAUUCUCUAUUUUCCCUGUUCCUCAGAUAAAACAUCUAGGGAUAUCAGACAAUGAAACAUGACGCAAGGGUAGAUGCUACUCGCAAAAACUCAGCUUGUGCUUUAUGCUUGUUGUCUGCAGCAUGUUAGCACUUAGCAGCUCACUUACCUGCUGCUGUGAACUGCACUUGAUCCUUGCUGAGUUUUAGUCCAUAGAAAACCAUGGAUACAAUACUGGGAUUCGAAUUCGAAUUUCAGUGCAUCAAAAAGAGUGGAUUGGUGACUAUAAUCUAUCGGUUAGAUUUAAAAGUGUUAUUGUGUCAGACCAAGAGAGGCAGCUCUCCAAAUUUAUUUGGAUCCAUCGAAACACAUCAUUUAUCAGGUGCAUGAUCAUAGCGUGCUUGCCAAAAAACCCAGAACACUCCCAUUUCGAUUCAAGGCUGGCUUCACUAAGGUAUAUAAUGGCAAGGGCAAUAUAGGUGGAGCCAUUGGCAUUUGCUAAAGAAUGUGAUAUGGAGGAUCAGGAUGGAUCUUGUUGGUCAUGAUCUGACUGAUAUCCUAAUGAAGAUUCUCACACAAAGAAGCUGGCCUUUGUUGCCCUUGAUUACGAGCAGGAGCAGCCUUUGUUGCCCUUGAUUACGAGCAGGAGCAGACUGCUUACAACAAAGGUUGUUUUCUUGUUUUGGAAGUUCAUCCAAUCUUAAGGUUAUUUCAAAUUUAGUCUAAUAAAGAAUGGACUAGAUGUUGUAGUCUCACAGGCUUUUAAACUGUUGCUUAUGCCAUCUGCUGAGCUUGUUUUCUGUGGCUGGUAAUAUCCUUCGUUCCUCUUUCGUUUGCCUUUCGCAGUGGUUAUUUUCUUCCACUUUGUAUUUUGAAUAUUAUAUAUUAAGUGCUCGACAGUUGAACAAGUAAAAAAAACUAAAUCUGUACUAAUCAUGGAUAGUUGAUGAUAUGUCUGCCGGAGAUGGAGGUGGUGUUGCUGGUCUUAUUGCUACCGUCAACGUAUCCGAGAUUUCUGAUAUCUGCAUGACCGUUAUAGCCAGAAAUCGAAGAGCCUUCCUCCCUUUUGCUUAGCACAGUCUCUUGGAAAAGAAGCAAGGGCAUAUACAACCACAUGUGCUACCGCAGAUUAUCCAUCGUUAAUCAGUCAUAGGACAAGAACCACGACUUAGAUUACUUGAGUCAGCUAUAGUUCCUAUAAAUUUGUUACGUGUGCAUUGGAAAAUGUUAACAAUAUAUGCAGUGUAUAUGUAUAUAUAUAUCUACAUAUAUAUGCCUUACUAAACAUCUUACACUUACAUACUC
Long non-coding RNA from Sorghum bicolor (sorghum), 3624 nucleotides. RefSeq lists it as uncharacterized. NCBI's taxonomy places the organism in Eukaryota, Viridiplantae, Streptophyta, Magnoliopsida, Poales, Poaceae. The transcript is spliced from 8 exons. The record is from RefSeq and is a predicted model, not a curated record.